GAUGAACGCUAGCUACAGGCUUAACACAUGCAAGUCGAGGGGCAGCACUAGGUAGCAAUACUGAGGUGGCGACCGGCGCACGGGUGCGUAACGCGUAUCCAACCUUCCCGUUACUCUUGGAUAGCCUUCCGAAAGGGAGAUUAAUACAAGAUGGUAUUCAAAUUCCGCAUGUUAUUUGAAUUAAAGAUUUAUCGGUAACGGAUGGGGAUGCGUGACAUUAGAUAGUAGGCGGGGUAACGGCCCACCUAGUCUACGAUGUCUAGGGGUUCUGAGAGGAAGGUCCCCCACACUGGAACUGAGACACGGUCCAGACUCCUACGGGAGGCAGCAGUGAGGAAUAUUGGUCAAUGGUCGGAAGACUGAACCAGCCAAGUAGCGUGAAGGAUGAAGGUUCUAUGGAUUGUAAACUUCUUUUAUACGGGAAUAAAACCUCCCACGUGUGGGAGCUUGUAUGUACCGUAUGAAUAAGCAUCGGCUAACUCCGUGCCAGCAGCCGCGGU
RNAcentral lists this ribosomal RNA (500 nucleotides) under uncultured bacterium. RNAcentral describes it as "bacterial SSU rRNA". It matches the Rfam family "Bacterial small subunit ribosomal RNA", at positions 28 to 521 of the family's 1533-position model. The record is from RNAcentral.